AGAGACAGCAGCAGCCGCGGUAAUACGGAGGAUCCAAGCGUUAUCCGGAAUCAUUGGGUUUAAAGGGUCCGUAGGCGGUCUUGUAAGUCAGUGGUGAAAGCCCAUCGCUCAACGGUGGAACGGCCAUUGAUACUGCAGGACUUGAAUUAUUGGGAAGUAACUAGAAUAUGUAGUGUAGCGGUGAAAUGCUUAGAGAUUACAUGGAAUACCAAUUGCGAAGGCAGGUUACUACCAAUUGAUUGACGCUGAUGGACGAAAGCGUGGGUAGCGAACAGGAUUAGAUACCCCUGUAGUCCCUGUCUCUUAAAC
This 309-nucleotide ribosomal RNA is filed under the name uncultured bacterium. RNAcentral describes it as "partial 16S ribosomal RNA". It matches the Rfam family "Bacterial small subunit ribosomal RNA", at positions 504 to 807 of the family's 1533-position model. The record is from RNAcentral.